UUCUUUGGAGAGUUUGAUCCUGGCUCAGGACGAACGCUGGCGGCGUGCCUAAUACAUGCAAGUCGAGCGGACUGGAUUGGAGCUUGCUCUGAUUCGGUCAGCGGCGGACGGGUGAGUAACACGUGGGCAACCUGCCCGCAAGACCGGGAUAACUCCGGGAAACCGGAGCUAAUACCGGAUAACACMGAAGACCGCAUG
RNAcentral lists this ribosomal RNA (198 nucleotides) under Geobacillus sp. LEMMY01. RNAcentral describes it as "partial 16S ribosomal RNA". It matches the Rfam family "Bacterial small subunit ribosomal RNA", at positions 1 to 192 of the family's 1533-position model. Lineage: Bacteria; Bacillati; Bacillota; Bacilli; Caryophanales; Anoxybacillaceae. The record is from RNAcentral.